CCUAAAUGCCCAGGAGAUGUUGACUUUCAUAAUAGUGACUGGGACAUUAAGACAAUCACCAGCUCCUUGAAAUUCUACCUCAGGAAUCUUUCUGAACCUGUCAUGACCUAUAGACUACAUAAAGAGCUGGUCUCUGCUGCCAAGUCUGACAACCUGGAUUAUCGACUGGGAGCUAUUCACUCCUUGGUAUAUAAGCUACCAGAAAAGAACCGGGAGAUGCUGGAACUUCUUAUAAGACACUUGGUCAAGUAAGUAAAUUCUGGGGUUUCAUAAAGAGUUCAUAUUAGAGGACUGGCUCACAUGGUAGCACUGCAAAGAAAUUUCCUGUCAUAUCUAAUUCCAAGUCCUCAAUUGCUUCAUCCUGUACAUGCUGAGUGUUCUUUAAGGAAGAUGAAUUUGCCUGGAUCCUAGUCUGUGUUGUCCCAAA
Myotis davidii is the source of this 427-nucleotide long non-coding RNA. RefSeq lists it as uncharacterized. The record is from RefSeq and is a predicted model, not a curated record. Lineage: Eukaryota; Metazoa; Chordata; Mammalia; Chiroptera; Vespertilionidae. The transcript has 3 exons.